AGUGAACGCUGGCGGUAGGCCUAACACAUGCAAGUCGAACGGCAGCACAGUAAGAGCUUGCUCUUACGGGUGGCGAGUGGCGGACGGGUGGGGAAUACAUCGGAAUUUACUUUUUCGUGGGGGAUAACGUAGGGAAACUUACGCUAAUACCGCAUACGACCUACGGGUGAAAGCAGGGGAUCUUCGGACCUUGCGCGAUUGAAUGAGCCGAUGUCGGAUUAGCUAGUUGGCGGGGUAAAGGCCCACCAAGGCGACGAUCCGUAGCUGGUCUGAGAGGAUGAUCAGCCACACUGGAACUGAGACACGGUCCAGACUCCUACGGGAGGCAGCAGUGGGGAAUAUUGGACAAUGGGCGCAAGCCUGAUCCAGCCAUACCGCGUGGGUGAAGAAGGCCUUCGGGUUGUAAAGCCCUUUUGUUGGGAAAGAAAAGCAGCAGGUUAAUACCCCGCUGUUCUGACGGUACCCAAAGAAUAAGCACCGGCUAACUUCGUG
RNAcentral lists this ribosomal RNA (492 nucleotides) under uncultured bacterium. RNAcentral describes it as "partial 16S ribosomal RNA". It matches the Rfam family "Bacterial small subunit ribosomal RNA", at positions 29 to 507 of the family's 1533-position model. The record is from RNAcentral.